Molecule: long non-coding RNA, 366 nt
Filed under: Ananas comosus (pineapple)
Lineage: Eukaryota; Viridiplantae; Streptophyta; Magnoliopsida; Poales; Bromeliaceae
Description: long non-coding RNA (ACOM_LNC019016)
Source: RNAcentral
UCAAUAAAAAGAUUAUUAAUUUUUCUUUAUUUACUUACAGUUAAUUUUAAAAACACAAGGUAACACUGAAUUAAAAUUAAAAUUUCGUUUGAAAUUACGGAGAGAUUACGUUAUAUGCGGUGAGAAAGUAUGAUGAAAAUAUUUUAUUUGUUUCCGUACGUAAUAUUGUGUUCCGCAUAUCGUGAUUAAUCGAUUACGAUAUAUUUUCUGUGGUCCCAUCGGAGAACGCAGAAUUCUUAUAUAUUUUUGCUCCAAUUCUAUUUUAUCUAAUAGCGUUAGAUAGAUCUUAAUACCAAACUAAACCUAUGUAGUAUGAAUCUGUAAAAAAAAAAAUUAUGUUUAUAUAUAUUUCCGGGCUUUUCGUUU